This is an RNA transcript of Bicyclus anynana (squinting bush brown), 4434 nucleotides long. It is a transcript of the gene named gustatory and odorant receptor 22, with no coding region annotated. Lineage: Eukaryota; Metazoa; Arthropoda; Insecta; Lepidoptera; Nymphalidae. The record is from RefSeq and is a predicted model, not a curated record. The transcript has 3 exons.
AUGGAGGGCGAAUGCGAGGUAUUGGUGAUUCGGAGCCACUCGUCUCCCGGGGAGAAGCGGAGUUGAUGUUUGCACCCCGUAGGGGUAACCUCCGAGUUGUGGUCAGGGCAUCUGUCCUGGACAAUAUUUUGGGUCAUCUCCCUCAGGAGCGAAUUUGGGACUCUACAAUACGUUUGACAGCCAACCUUACUCCAGCCGAUGCCGACUGGUUUGUUCCGGCCCCGGUUGAUUUGUUGUUGGGAGCCGACGUUUUGGGUUGCAUUGUGACCGGUGGCAUUAAACAUUUGCAGGCUAAGGGGUUGAGUGCCCUUCCAACCAUAUUUGGACAUAGUUUUCUCGGUCCUGUCCUGCCAGUAAAACCGUUGGAGCGCGAUGAGCCUCUCCGAGUGGCGGGCACCGCACUUAUUGAUCUUGUGCAGCGGUUCUGGGAAAUUGAGGAACCCCCUUGUGCGUCUCGAGUGAACCCCUCCGACCAGGAUUGUGAGCUGUUUUACCAGAAUAACACUGGUCGUCGUGUGGAUGGACGAUUUGUUACUCGACUACCAUUUGUGGCCUCACGACCCCCUCUCGGACAGUCACGAGCCUUGGCAGAGAAGAGACUGUUGUCUAUGGAACGGCGUAUGAGAAGAGACCAGGCCUUUCGAGAAAAGUAUACUGCAUUCAUGCGCGAAUACGAGGAAUUGGGACACAUGUCGGUGUCAACCUUUGAUUGGCGCGCGCAUGAACACUACUUCUUGCCACAUCACGCCGUUUUGAAAACCCCUGACAGCAAGAUCAGGGUUGUGUUUGACGGGUCCGCACCCACCUCAAACGGCGUGUCCUUGAACCAGUGCCUGCAUGCGGGUCCGAAAUUGCUGAAGGACAUCUCGGACAUCCUCACGCACUUCCGUCGUCACCAGGUGGUUUUUGUAGCCGACAUUCGGAUGAUGUUUCGGCAAUCGAUUGUGCAUCGCGACGACCGGAACUACCAGCUGAUUUUGUGGCGUGAGCAUCCUGACGACCCGAUGCAGGUGUAUGAGUUGAACACCACGACGUACGGCUUGAGAUCCAGUCCUUAUAUUGCGAUCAGGACCUUGUUGGAGUUGGCUGAGCGCGAGAGGCUCAAUUACCCGCGAGCAGCAGCCGUUUUGGAGUCGUCGGUCUACAUGGACGAUAUUUGUACCGGAGCUUCAACCCUUGAAGAUGCUCUAGUUUUACGUGAUGAAUUGAUUGCGAUCCUGAAGGCAGGGGGUUUUGAAUUGAGCAAAUGGUUGUCGAACUCACCUGACCUUUUGAAGGACCUUCCUGGAGAAGAUCAACAGGAUCCUUACAUAUUUGAGAACCCGGAUGAUACGAACCUGCUGUCCGUCCUUGGGAUACAAUACCGGCCAGUUCAGGAUGUGUUUACGUACCGAGUUAAAUUGGACCCAUCUCCGAGAAAUUGGACUAAGCGUUCCGUCUUGUCAACCGUCGCUCGCACCUUUGACCCAAAUGGUUGGGUAACGCCCGUCAUCUUCCUGGCAAAAUGCUUCCUGCAGAAGCUUUGGAUUGCUCAGGUUGGUUGGGACGAGCCACUUCAGGGCAGACUAGAAGAGGAGUGGACUUCCAUUGUGUCCUCUCUCCCUGAGGUGAACCGGAUUUCCAUCUCCAGACGUUUCUUGCCGCCUGGGAGAUGCCAUGCGAGCUUGCACGGAUUUUGCGACGCGAGUGAAAAGGGUUAUGCUGCAGCCGUUUACCUUCGCACCGUCAAUGCGAACGGUGAGGUAUCGGUGCAUUUGGUGCUGGCCAAGAGCAAGGUGGCGCCGAUCCGGACCAGAUUGACUAUUCCGAAAUUGGAAUUGUCCGGAGCCACGCUUCUCGCCAGGUUGUUGAAUCACGUCAGAGCAACUAUGGCCUCGCUAGUCGAAUUGACUGAGGUCGUUGCCUGGUCAGACAGUGAGAUUGUUUUGUGCUGGUUGCGUGCCUCUCCUCACAAUUUGGAGGUGUUUGUUGCGAAUCGGGUCUCACAGAUCCAGAAUUCGGAAACCACCUUGUUGUGGAGGCAUGUGCCGGGAGAAAUGAACCCCGCCGACUGCGCUUCUCGUGGUUGCGAGGGGUCUUUUCUUGUAGAUCAUCCUUUGUGGUGGGGGCCAGCUUGGCUGACUCGAUCUGAGUCUUCUUGGCCUCAGAAUCGUUUUUCUGACCCUGAGCCCUUACCUUGCUUGCGUGUUGGAGUGGUUGAGGAUUUGUCUCCUCCCACGUACGAAUUCUUGCUGGAGCGGUACAGCUCUUUCGAAAAAUUGAUCGGAGUUACUGGUUGGAUCCGGCGUUUCCACCACAAUAGCAGAACGCCUCAGUCCAAGAUACGGACCCCAGUCUUGUCUCCCAUUGAACGAAAGGAAGCGCUGUUGUUUUGGGUGCGCUUGAUACAGGCCGAACAUUUUUCGGCUGAAAUUCAGAAAUUGAAAGCCGGUUCAGGUUUGAAGGGUUCGCUAGCCCGCCUGAAUCCGUUUGUGGAUCCUGAUGGGAUCUUGAGAGUUGGUGGACGUUUGAGGAACGCCAACUUACCCUAUGGUGCGCGACAUCCCUUGUUGCUCCCAAAUGGUGGGACCUUUGUGGUGCUGCUUGUGAGGCAUUAUCAUUUGAACAAUGCUCACGCUGGUUGUAAUGCAAUUUCUGCUAUUUUGCAGCGUGAAUUUUGGAUUUUGUCGGCCAGACGCGUCAUUCGAAGCGUAAUUUUUCGGUGUAUCCCUUGUUACCGCUUGAAAGCGGCGCCCAUUCAACCCAUCAUGGGCGACCUGCCUGCGGAUCGGGUUACGGAGUCUCGUCCGUUUUACGGAACUGCUUCUGAUUUUGGAGGCCCCUUCAUGGUUCGGAGCUCGAACCUCCGGAAUGCGAGACCUGUAAAGGCCUAUUUAUGCGUAUUUGUUUGCCUCGCCACCAAGGCCGUCCAUCUCGAGCUAGUCAGUUCCCUCAGUACGGAAGCUUUUGUAGCCGCGCUUUCCCGUCUUUGUUCGCGACGCGGAAUUCCGGGACUAAUACGGACUGAUUGUGGGUCCAACUACCGUGGUGCUGAUCGGUAUUUGAAGGAAGUUGUCGAAUUCUUGGAUAGUAAUAAGACUUUUAUUGGCACAGCUGCCUCUCGAAUGGGGGUAACCUGGAAGUUUGAUCCUCCCGUUUGCCCUCACUGGGGUGGAAUUUUUGAAGCUGUGAUUAAGUCAGCAAAAACGCAUCUCUACCGUGUCAUUGGGGAAACUAUUUUGACUUUUGAAGAGUUGGCCACCGUAUUUUGCAGGAUUGAGGCCGUCCUCAAUUCUCGGCCCCUUUGCCCUCUCUCAUCCGAUCCAAACGAUUUAGAAGUUUUAACGCCGGGACAUUUUUUGAUUGGCCAGCCCCUUCGCGCGUUGCCUGAGUACCCCUUCAGGGACGCGAAAACCUCUCGUUUGACUCGCUUUGAAUUGUUGCAACAGAUGACCCAGAACUUUUGGCAUCGUUGGUCUCUGGAGUAUUUGCAUCUUUUGCAGCAGCGCGUGAAGUGGACUGACAAGACGGAUCCUCCUAAGGUUGGUGACCUAGUUCUGGUCAAGGAGUCGAAUUUGCUACCGUUGUAUUGGCGUCGCGGACGUAUUGUUAAGUUGAUGUUUGGAUCGGAUGGAGUGCCCCGCGUGGCUGAGGUCAUGGUGGGAGAUUCGUUGUUGCAUCGGGCUGUAUCGUCACUGGCACGAUUGCCCAUUGAGUAGGGAAUCCACCUUUGGGGAUUCCGAGCGGGGGUUUAUGUUCGCGCUAGAUGGCGCGGCGCGACUGGGCGCUCGAUUGUAGUACGAUUCCCCGCCCGCGCGGGGGGCGUACCGGCGCCUGCGACCGGUUUUCGCGGCGUCGCGCGCGACCUCGUUGACCGCCAGUCUUGGUCCGACGCUUUGACCGGGAACCCGUGUUUCUUGUUCCGGAGUUUUUUGAGCGCAUGGUAGCUUGACUCGAUCUUGGUUGAGCAUUUAUCGAGUGAUUGGACUAUAAUUUGUGUCCGAGGUAUUGACCCUUUGUGAUCGGCACAGAACGCAGUGAUUUUGUGGCGUGUUUGGUGCAUGUGCUUGGGGUUUUUGCUGAAGGGUGAGCGAUCCACAUACACUGAUACUCACACCAACGACCAACACAAUACACAUAACCUGAACUACGUGGAUCACCCGGCGUGGCAUAGCGGCUCCCAGCGGCGUUUGUGCCCAAGAGGGCUACGCCGAUUGUCAAGGUACUCAUCCUCUCCGAUCGCGACGACUGCUGCCACGAAGUUCUGGAUCUUGACCGCGAACUUGACUAUAUCUUUAUGAUAUUCAUCUGCUAAGUGUCGCGGUGUUUCUGCUCCCGUUCCUGCCUUCCUUCGGUACGCGCAGGAUUUGCCAUGAUGCUUGGCGGCGGAGUUUGAAACAUACCUUUUAUAUAUAUCGGCUCAAGAUUUGGCUCGAAGACCACUUUGUAAAGGCC